RNAcentral lists this ribosomal RNA (496 nucleotides) under uncultured bacterium. RNAcentral describes it as "partial 16S ribosomal RNA". It matches the Rfam family "Bacterial small subunit ribosomal RNA", at positions 28 to 506 of the family's 1533-position model. The record is from RNAcentral.
GAUGAACGCUGGCGGCGUGCCUAAUACAUGCAAGUCGAGCGAACAGACGAGGAGCUUGCUCCUCUGACGUUAGCGGCGGACGGGUGAGUAACACGUGGAUAACCUACCUAUAAGACUGGGAUAACUUCGGGAAACCGGAGCUAAUACCGGAUAAUAUAUUGAACCGCAUGGUUCAAUAGUGAAAGACGGUUUUGCUGUCACUUAUAGAUGGAUCCGCGCCGCAUUAGCUAGUUGGUAAGGUAACGGCUUACCAAGGCAACGAUGCGUAGCCGACCUGAGAGGGUGAUCGGCCACACUGGAACUGAGACACGGUCCAGACUCCUACGGGAGGCAGCAGUAGGGAAUCUUCCGCAAUGGGCGAAAGCCUGACGGAGCAACGCCGCGUGAGUGAUGAAGGUCUUCGGAUCGUAAAACUCUGUUAUUAGGGAAGAACAAAUGUGUAAGUAACUAUACACGUCUUGACGGUACCUAAUCAGAAAGCCACGGCUAACUACGU